This 3013-nucleotide ribosomal RNA is filed under the name Salmonella enterica subsp. enterica serovar Derby. RNAcentral's name for it is "23S ribosomal RNA". It matches the Rfam family "Bacterial large subunit ribosomal RNA". Lineage: Bacteria; Pseudomonadati; Pseudomonadota; Gammaproteobacteria; Enterobacterales; Enterobacteriaceae. The record is from RNAcentral.
GGGUUGUGAGGUUAAGCGACUAAGCGUACACGGUGGAUGCCCUGGCAGUCAGAGGCGAUGAAGGACGUGCUAAUCUGCGAUAAGCGCCGGUAAGGUGAUAUGAACCGUUAUAACCGGCGAUUUCCGAAUGGGGAAACCCAGUGUGAUUCGUCACACUAUCAUUAACUGAAUCCAUAGGUUAAUGAGGCGAACCGGGGGAACUGAAACAUCUAAGUACCCCGAGGAAAAGAAAUCAACCGAGAUUCCCCCAGUAGCGGCGAGCGAACGGGGAGGAGCCCAGAGCCUGAAUCAGCAUGUGUGUUAGUGGAAGCGUCUGGAAAGGCGCGCGAUACAGGGUGACAGCCCCGUACACAAAAGCGCAUGUGCUGUGAGCUCGAUGAGUAGGGCGGGACACGUGGUAUCCUGUCUGAAUAUGGGGGGACCAUCCUCCAAGGCUAAAUACUCCUGACUGACCGAUAGUGAACCAGUACCGUGAGGGAAAGGCGAAAAGAACCCCGGCGAGGGGAGUGAAAAAGAACCUGAAACCGUGUACGUACAAGCAGUGGGAGCACAGGUUUACCUGUGUGACUGCGUACCUUUUGUAUAAUGGGUCAGCGACUUAUAUUCUGUAGCAAGGUUAACCGUAUAGGGGAGCCGGAGGGAAACCGAGUCUUAACCGGGCGUUAAGUUGCAGGGUAUAGACCCGAAACCCGGUGAUCUAGCCAUGGGCAGGUUGAAGGUUGGGUAACACUAACUGGAGGACCGAACCGACUAAUGUUGAAAAAUUAGCGGAUGACCUGUGGCUGGGGGUGAAAGGCCAAUCAAACCGGGAGAUAGCUGGUUCUCCCCGAAAGCUAUUUAGGUAGCGCCUCGUGAAUUCAUCUCCGGGGGUAGAGCACUGUUUCGGCUAGGGGGCCAUCCCGGCUUACCAACCCGAUGCAAACUGCGAAUACCGGAGAAUGUUAUCACGGGAGACACACGGCGGGUGCUAACGUCCGUCGUGAAGAGGGAAACAACCCAGACCGCCAGCUAAGGUCCCAAAGUCAUGGUUAAGUGGGAAACGAUGUGGGAAGGCCCAGACAGCCAGGAUGUUGGCUUAGAAGCAGCCAUCAUUUAAAGAAAGCGUAAUAGCUCACUGGUCGAGUCGGCCUGCGCGGAAGAUGUAACGGGGCUAAACCAUGCACCGAAGCUGCGGCAGCGAACGUAUCACCCAAGACAACUUUACGGAGUUGACGAUUGACGGAGCGAAGCGACGUCAAAGCGUUCAUUAAAGUCGAGUUGGCUUAGGGAUACGUUCGUUGGGUAGGGGAGCGUUCUGUAAGCCUGUGAAGGUGGCCUGUGAGGGUUGCUGGAGGUAUCAGAAGUGCGAAUGCUGACAUAAGUAACGAUAAAGCGGGUGAAAAGCCCGCUCGCCGGAAGACCAAGGGUUCCUGUCCAACGUUAAUCGGGGCAGGGUGAGUCGACCCCUAAGGCGAGGCCGAAAGGCGUAGUCGAUGGGAAACGGGUUAAUAUUCCCGUACUUGGUGUUACUGCGAAGGGGGGACGGAGAAGGCUAUGUUGGCCGGGCGACGGUUGUCCCGGUUUAAGCGUGUAGGUGUGUGUUCCAGGUAAAUCCGGUUCACUUUAACACUGAGGCGUGACGACGAGGCACUACGGUGCUGAAGCAACAAAUGCCCUGCUUCCAGGAAAAGCCUCUAAGCAUCAGGUAACAUCAAAUCGUACCCCAAACCGACACAGGUGGUCAGGUAGAGAAUACCAAGGCGCUUGAGAGAACUCGGGUGAAGGAACUAGGCAAAAUGGUGCCGUAACUUCGGGAGAAGGCACGCUGACAUGUAGGUGAAGUGAUUUACUCAUGGAGCUGAAGUCAGUCGAAGAUACCAGCUGGCUGCAACUGUUUAUUAAAAACACAGCACUGUGCAAACACGAAAGUGGACGUAUACGGUGUGACGCCUGCCCGGUGCCGGAAGGUUAAUUGAUGGGGUCAGCGCAAGCGAAGCUCCUGAUCGAAGCCCCGGUAAACGGCGGCCGUAACUAUAACGGUCCUAAGGUAGCGAAAUUCCUUGUCGGGUAAGUUCCGACCUGCACGAAUGGCGUAAUGAUGGCCAGGCUGUCUCCACCCGAGACUCAGUGAAAUUGAACUCGCUGUGAAGAUGCAGUGUACCCGCGGCAAGACGGAAAGACCCCGUGAACCUUUACUAUAGCUUGACACUGAACAUUGAGCCUUGAUGUGUAGGAUAGGUGGGAGGCUUUGAAGUGUGGACGCCAGUCUGCAUGGAGCCGACCUUGAAAUACCACCCUUUAAUGUUUGAUGUUCUAACGUGGACCCGUAAUCCGGGUUGCGGACAGUGUCUGGUGGGUAGUUUGACUGGGGCGGUCUCCUCCUAAAGAGUAACGGAGGAGCACGAAGGUUGGCUAAUCCUGGUCGGACAUCAGGAGGUUAGUGCAAUGGCAUAAGCCAGCUUGACUGCGAGCGUGACGGCGCGAGCAGGUGCGAAAGCAGGUCAUAGUGAUCCGGUGGUUCUGAAUGGAAGGGCCAUCGCUCAACGGAUAAAAGGUACUCCGGGGAUAACAGGCUGAUACCGCCCAAGAGUUCAUAUCGACGGCGGUGUUUGGCACCUCGAUGUCGGCUCAUCACAUCCUGGGGCUGAAGUAGGUCCCAAGGGUAUGGCUGUUCGCCAUUUAAAGUGGUACGCGAGCUGGGUUUAGAACGUCGUGAGACAGUUCGGUCCCUAUCUGCCGUGGGCGCUGGAGAACUGAGGGGGGCUGCUCCUAGUACGAGAGGACCGGAGUGGACGCAUCACUGGUGUUCGGGUUGUCAUGCCAAUGGCACUGCCCGGUAGCUAAAUGCGGAAGAGAUAAGUGCUGAAAGCAUCUAAGCACGAAACUUGCCCCGAGAUGAGUUCUCCCUGAGACUUAGAGUCUCCUGAAGGAACGUUGAAGACGACGACGUUGAUAGGCCGGGUGUGUAAGCGCAGCGAUGCGUUGAGCUAACCGGUACUAAUGAACCGUGAGGCUUAACCUUACAACGCCGAAG